GAUGAAGAACGCAGCGAAAUGCGAUAAGUAGUGUGAAUUGCAGAAUUCAGUGAAUCAUCGAAUCUUUGAACGCACAUUGCGCCCCUUGGUAUUCCAUGGGGCAUGCCUGUUCGAGCGUCAUUACGCCCCUCAAGUCCCCUGUGGACUUGGUGUUGGGGAUCGGCGAGGCUGGUUUUCCAGCACAGCCGUCCCUUAAAUUAAUUGGCGGUCUCGCCGUGGCCCUCCUCUGCGCAGUAGUAAAACACUCGCAACAGGAGCCCGGCGCGGUCCACUGCCGUAAAACCCCCCAACUUUUUAUAGUUGACCUCGAAUCAGGUAGGACUACCCGCUGAACUUAAGCAUAUCAAUAAGCGGAGGA
RNAcentral lists this unclassified non-coding RNA (358 nucleotides) under soil metagenome. Its description in RNAcentral is "partial contains 5.8S ribosomal RNA, internal transcribed spacer 2, and large subunit ribosomal RNA". The stretch from base 1 to 120 matches the Rfam family "5.8S ribosomal RNA", at positions 35 to 154 of the family's 154-position model. The record is from RNAcentral.